RNAcentral lists this long non-coding RNA (408 nucleotides) under Vulpes vulpes (red fox). RNAcentral describes it as "lncRNA (ENSVVUG00000028221.1)". The record is from RNAcentral. Lineage: Eukaryota; Metazoa; Chordata; Mammalia; Carnivora; Canidae.
GCAUUUGUGGCGUGAUGCACUGGUGAACAGGCUGAGCACGAUGUACAUGCCCUGCAAGAAUCUCCUCUCUACCCACUCACGCCUGCUGCCAGCCGAAUAUCUGACCCUGCCAUUGUCAUUCGAGGACACGCUAAUAACCCUGCUGCAGGAAUACCACCGGGGCACCUGGGAGUGGAAUGAGGUGGCCUAGAUCCCUCCAGCAUUAUCCGUUGUGCGUCCUUUAUUUCAUAUUUGGCCAGAAACAUCUAGAACCACAGCUGUCUGACUCUUACUGGUUGAAAGAAGCUCCUGUGUGCCUAAAGGAUUCUUUUGAAUUAAGUCUUUUCAGUCAUUUUCCCCUCCGGUGUUCACCAGUGAGGCCACACUUUGACAGAAGUCAGCUUUUUUUCCCCUCAACCCCCAACAAAC